Molecule: small RNA, 156 nt
Filed under: Actinomyces sp. oral taxon 178 str. F0338
Lineage: Bacteria; Bacillati; Actinomycetota; Actinomycetes; Actinomycetales; Actinomycetaceae
Rfam family: Bacterial large subunit ribosomal RNA
Source: RNAcentral
UGGGGCAUUCGGUGGAUGCCUUGGCACCAAGAGCUGAUGAAGGACGUUGCGGCCUGCGAUAUGCCCCGGGGAGUUGGCGAGCGAGCUUUGAUCCGGGGGUGUCCGAAUGGGGGAACCCGGCCCGGGUUGUGCUGGGCCACCAUCAUCUGAACGUGU